AAGGUAGAAUUCCCGGUGUAGCGGUGAAAUGCGUAGAGAUCGGGAGGAAUACCAGUGGCGAAGGCGGCCUUCUGGACUGACACUGACACUGAGGUGCGAAAGCGUGGGUAGCAAACAGGAUUAGAUACCCUGGUAGUCCACGCCGUAAACGAUGUCGACCAGCCGUUGGGUGCCUAGCGCACUUUGUGGCGAAGUUAACGCGAUAAGUCGACCGCCUGGGGAGUACGGCCGCAAGGUUAAAACUCAAAUGAAUUGACGGGGGCCCGCACAAGCGGUGGAGCAUGUGGUUUAAUUCGAUGCAACGCGAAGAACCUUACCUACUCUUGACAUCCUGCGAACUUGUGAGAGAUCACUUGGUGCCUUCGGGAACGCAGAGACAGGUGCUGCAUGGCUGUCGUCAGCUCGUGUUGUGAAAUGUUGGGUUAAGUCCCGUAACGAGCGCAACCCUUGUCCUUAUUUGCCAGCGCGUAAAGGCGGGAACUCUAAAGGAGACUGCCCGGUGACAAACCAGUAGGAAGGUGGGGACGACAUCAAGUCAUCAUGGCCCUUACGAGUAGGGCUACACAC
This 567-nucleotide ribosomal RNA is filed under the name Halomonas sp. KBDL30. RNAcentral's name for it is "bacterial SSU rRNA". It matches the Rfam family "Bacterial small subunit ribosomal RNA", at positions 658 to 1221 of the family's 1533-position model. Lineage: Bacteria; Pseudomonadati; Pseudomonadota; Gammaproteobacteria; Oceanospirillales; Halomonadaceae. The record is from RNAcentral.